RNAcentral lists this ribosomal RNA (3036 nucleotides) under Triticum aestivum (bread wheat). RNAcentral describes it as "partial small subunit ribosomal RNA". Lineage: Eukaryota; Viridiplantae; Streptophyta; Magnoliopsida; Poales; Poaceae. The record is from RNAcentral.
AUGGGCUUCAUGGGGGCGAAGCUGUUCCCGUCGUGCGAGAGCAUGUGCGUCUGCUGCCCGGCGCUGCGCCCGAGCUCGCGCCGCCCCGUCAAGCGGUACAAGAAGCUGCUCGCUGAGAUAUUCCCCAAGACGCCUGAGGGUCCCCCAAAUGAGAGGAAAAUCAUGAAGUUAUGCGAGUAUGCUGCCAAGAAUCCCCUGCGCAUUCCAAAGAUUGCCAAGUUUCUGGAACAGAGGAGUCGCAAGGAGCUGCGCGCUGCUCAUUUGAACUAUGUCAAGAUAAUCACUGAAGCAUACAGCAAGCUACUCUUCAUUUGUAAGGAGCAGAUGGCAUAUUUUGCCAUCAGCCUGGUGAACGUCCUUACCGACCUUCUGGAAAGCAAGCAGGAGAACAUUCAUAUCCUUGGAUGUCAAACUUUAGCGAGGUUUAUUUACAGCCAGGUAGACAACACAUAUGCACGAAAUAUUGAGAGCUUGGUCCACAAAGUGUGCACACUUUCACGGCAACAGGGAGUGGAGCAUAGUCUUCUGCGUGCAGCAAGCCUACAGUGUCUCUCAGCAAUGAUCUGGUUUAUGAAGGAGCAUUCAUACAUAUUUGCUGAUUUUGAUGAGUUGAGUUCCAAAUUGCUCAACCUGGUUGCUUGCUUAGUUGCUCGUUUGCACCAGAUGGUGCAGUCGGUCUUGGAAAAUUAUAGGAUGGAUGGAACUGCUGGUGGUGAUGAUGACAGACAUGCAUCACAGCAUAACUGGGUUGAUGAAAUAGUCAGGCGUGAGGGAAGAGCUGGUUUAGGUGGAGGUAAUGAUGUAAAUUUCUGUGGUGCAACAACUACUAGACUGCGAUCAGCAAGGGACUCUUCAGCACUGACCAGGGAGGAGCGUGAAUCUCCAGAAGUAUGGUCCCAUAUUUGUGUUCAGAAGCUUGUGGAACUGGCCAAAGAGAGUACAACUAUGCGACGCAUCCUUGAUCCAAUGUUUUCUUACUUUGAUAUGAAGAAACAAUGGGCUCCUCGGCAUGGAUUAGCUUUGCUUGUCUUGUCUGAUAUGUCUUACCCAGAGAAGAGUUCAGGCAACGAACGAUUGAUUUUGACUACUGUCAUCCGUCAUCUGGACCACAAGAAUAUUUUGCAUUGUCCUCAGACUAAAUCUGAUAUUAUUCAGACAGCAACAUCUUUGGCACGGCAGCUGCGAUCACGAGGAGUUUCUCCUGAACUUGCAGUAGCAGGUGACUUGUGCAGGCACUUGAGGAAAACACUAGAGGCCAUGGAGUCAGCCAGUGUUGCAGAGCUGAGCUUGAAUGAGUCUCUUCAAAAUUUCCUGGAGGGCUGUCUUGUUGAAGUCGUAAGAGGAGUUAAAGAUGUGCGCCCACUUUAUGACAUGAUGGCAAUUACAUUGGAGAAUUUGCCUUCUAUUCCUGCUGUUGCUAGAGCAACUAUUGGAAGUUCGCUGAUACUUUGCCACAUAAUCUCUUUGACAUCAGUAUCUUCGGACGCUCCUAUGGUGUUUCCGGAAGCACUCCUCCAGCAGAUAUUGAGAUCCAUGGUACAUCCAGAUGCAGACACUCGUGUGGGGGCGCACCACAUAUUUUCUGCUGUAAUUGUCCGAGGCCCAAGCCAUCAGAGGGGUGAUUCAGAGUACCUAUUUGCAACAAAAAAGUGUCAAUCUCGAUCACCAUCAGUGUUUUCUUCAGCUACUGCUCUACUUGAGAAGUUAAGGAGAGAGAAAGAAUGCUUAGGUUCAGAUAAGCCUGGACAUAUGAUGCAUGAUGAUGGGAAGGAAAGAAACACCCAUGAAGAGGAUAAUAAGCAUGUUUGGGCACGAAAAAGCCCGGCUUAUUUUUCAAAGUUGGUCUUUUCUUUCGUCGAUCGAUGGGCAACACUAGCUAGUUCUGCUGAGGAAACCAAAAUCGUCCUGUUAACUGAAGAUCAAACAAAUCAAUUGCUGUCUGCGUUUUGGAUACAGGCCAAUCAGACCGAUAACACUCCUUUUAAUUAUGAGGCCAUUGGUCAUUCAUACAGCCUCACUGUUCUUUCUUCCCGCCUUAAGAAUUCAAGCAACAGUAAUAACAUUCAGUUCUUCCAGUUGCCUCUGUCCCUCCGAAGUAUUGCUUUAACUCCAAGUGGAGGCCUGCCCCCUUCUUGCCAACGGUCUAUUUUUUCCUUAGCAACGAGUAUGCUGGCUUUUGCUGGAAAAGUCUGUCAUAUUGUUGAAUUGGCAGAGUUGCUAAGGUGUUUUACCUCAUCCAAUAUUGAUUCUUAUCUAAGAAUUGGUGAAGACUUGCAACUCUAUGUAAGGUUGCAAUCGGAUCUUGGCAGCUAUGGUUCUGAAAGUGAUCAAGACGUUGCUAGGUCUGUACUUUCUGAUUGCAGAAAGAAAGUGGGAAUAAAUGAUCAGCAAGUGCUUGAUGUGAUUGCCUGUGCACUUUCAAAUUUAACUGAGAUGGACAAGGAUGCAGUGGCGAAGGAGCUCACAGAGAUGUUUACUCCUGAAGAAGUUCCCUUGUUUGGUUCAAAUUCAGCCCUUGACUGGGCCAACUUUCAUGCGCAGGCAUUUUCGGAUGAAUCCCUUUCUUUUGAUGAGGAGUGUUCAAGAACAUCUUCGGUAGAUGGUGGAUUGCAUGACUCACCAAUUACAAAUACUGCUAGCUCCACAUCCAAGAUUACGCUUCCUCAUUCUGCUCCCCGUGUCCUGGGUGUUGGUCAGCUGCUUGAAUCGGCGCUGCAUGUAGCUGGCCAGGUUGCAGGGUCAUCCGUUUCUACCUCCCCCCUCCCAUACGGCACAAUGACUAGUCAAUGUGAGGCCCUGGGAUCGGGCACUAGGAAGAAGCUAUCAAGCUGGCUCGUGAAUGGCCACAACUCGACUCCAGACAAUCCUGUGCCAAGCCUUCCCGCUGCCGACCAUUUCAUCCUUCCUAAGGUAAAUUUGUGUGGCUUCGAGAUCAACCGCACGUCAUCGGAGCCGUGCUCCAUGGUGAAGCUUCCACCGGCUAGCCCAUUCGACAACUUCCUGAAGGCAGCUUAUCGCACCCCGCAGGAGAUGUGA